GAUGAACGCUGGCGGCGUGCCUAAUACAUGCAAGUCGAACGCGAGAGGAGGGAGCUUGCUCCCUCUGAUCGAGUGGCGGACGGGUGAGUAACACGUAGGCAACCUGCCCAUCAGCCGGGGAUAACUGCGGGAAACCGUGGCUAAUACCGGAUAAUCCUCUCCACCGCGGGGUGGGGAGUUGAAAGACGGUUUCGGCUGUCGCUGAUGGAUGGGCCUGCGGCGCAUUAGCUGGUUGGCGGGGUAACGGCCCACCAAGGCAAUGAUGCGUAGCCGACAUGAGAGGGUGGUCGGCCACACUGGGACUGAGACACGGCCCAGACUCCUACGGGAGGCAGCAGUAGGGAAUCUUCCGCAAUGGACGCAAGUCUGACGGAGCAACGCCGCGUGAGUGAAGAAGGGUUUCGGCUCGUAAGACUCUGUUGUUAAGGAAGAACGCCAGGUAGAGUAACUGCUACCUGUGUGACGGUACUUAACCAGAAAGCCACGGCUAACUACGUGCCAGCCGCCGCAGUAA
Molecule: ribosomal RNA, 514 nt
Filed under: uncultured bacterium
Lineage: Bacteria
Description: partial 16S ribosomal RNA
Rfam family: Bacterial small subunit ribosomal RNA
Source: RNAcentral